AGGUUGCCCGGGCACCCGAAGCAGCAUUGCGACUCCGCUUCCUCUAGCACCCUGGUGCCUCAGUGGUCAGGCUGUCUGAAAGCUACCCUGCCCUCUAACGCUGUGCCCUUUCCGUCUCUGCCAGUUCUCCACCAUGCCCGGGGGCGUGCCCUGGUCGGUCUACUUGAAAAUGCUCUCCUCCAGCCUCCUGGCCAUGUGCGCCGGAGCCCAGGUGGUGCACUGGUACUACCGGCCUGACCUGACAAUACCUGAAAUUCCACCAAAGCCUGGAGAACUCAGAACGGAGCUUUUGGGACUGAGGGAGAGACACCGUGAAUCUCAGGUCUCACAGCAGUAGAAACCUCAAAAUACAGCUGUGCAAAGAACUCUGUGAAUGAUGCUUUAAAUAUGUAUUUUAAAAUUUAUUAAGUAAAACAACUUUUUUUUUU
RNAcentral lists this long non-coding RNA (428 nucleotides) under Rattus norvegicus (Norway rat). Its description in RNAcentral is "long non-coding RNA NONRATT025688". Lineage: Eukaryota; Metazoa; Chordata; Mammalia; Rodentia; Muridae. The record is from RNAcentral.